UAAAGGAUCUAACAUUCUCUCUACUU
This 26-nucleotide unclassified non-coding RNA is filed under the name Mus musculus (house mouse). RNAcentral's name for it is "oocyte_clustered_small_RNA5348". The record is from RNAcentral. Lineage: Eukaryota; Metazoa; Chordata; Mammalia; Rodentia; Muridae.